Molecule: non-coding RNA, 1184 nt
Organism: Physcomitrium patens
Lineage: Eukaryota; Viridiplantae; Streptophyta; Bryopsida; Funariales; Funariaceae
Source: RefSeq, a predicted model, not a curated record
UCUCCCCCGGAUCCGAUGGUUGCUUUCCGUCGAAGGGUAGAUUCGUCGUCGUUUGUUGUGAAGAGUUUGAAACGGCCGAGUAAGUUUGUUCGCGAGUAUCUUCCGCAUCGUGCAUUCCUCCCACGCCCCCGUGCGACUCAUCCUGCUGAUCUUCGGGCGACUAUGCGGGCGGGGUCGAACCCUACCGUGGGUCUUGAGAAGUCGAAAUUGGCGUUGGAGUUCCAACUUUAUCCUCCCUCGGGUUGAACUGUUGGCGACGCCGGCAGCGUUUGCUGAAGUUGGGGCUGCCAGUGGGUCUGGUUUCAGUCCCCCCACAUUUUAACUGUGGAAUGCGUAACUGGGGUAAUUCCGGUGCUUGCGGUGUGUUAUAAAUGUGAUGUAAAGCACCGGUCCGCCGGGAUUAUCUCAUGUGGACGCCUGUGGCGGUCUGUUGCGAGCCAUUGGUUGAAAACCAGCUGUAGUUGAUUUAAAUUUUGUGUUCGAGUUUGUACAUGAGGUGAGCUAUUUACGAAGUUUCCUAUUUGGAGGUGUGGUUGCUUUGCCAACCUUGUGCCGUUUGGUACUUCACUGGAUGAUCAGUUCCAGGAGGUGUUUCCAAGCUUCGCCAUGAGCACACAUCACAGGUCAAUGUUUUGGAAGAUCUGGCACCAAACCACAGCUGACAUUGUCAAGUCGGAAGGGGCGAUUUCCUUAAAUGUUCCAACUUGAACGCGAGCAAAAUAAUUCAUGACCAAAUAUGAUAGCACAAACCCAUUUUAAAAACUUCUGAUUGCCGUGGAAGGAUAAAAUGAUUGACUUCGUGUUACUGAAAUUCGGACAAGAAACUGGAGUCCGAGGGUGCGACCAUUAGCCAGCCCUCCCUUCAAACACUUCCAGCCUUUGCCGACGUUUGUUGUAACUUAUUCAAACAGUACUUGGGCAGUUGUUACCUACCCAAGUAAGAAUUAGUCUGUUGGGAUGAGAAAGAAUCGGCGUCUCAUAAAGAUGAGCAGCUGAAAAAUAUGUUCCAAAAUGCCCCUCUAAAACACAUUAUAUAGCGAUUCAAAGAUUGUGAUUGUGUUUACCUGUUGUAAUCCAAUACGUUACCGUAAGUAACAGAGAUGUGAUUGGCACUCAUUUGCUAACUUGAGUUGGUUAUCGUCACGUGCCUCCUUUAAUAUAAUACCUUUGUCACAGAAACUCAA